Lynx canadensis (Canada lynx) is the source of this 605-nucleotide non-coding RNA. NCBI's taxonomy places the organism in Eukaryota, Metazoa, Chordata, Mammalia, Carnivora, Felidae. The record is from the annotation of a RefSeq genome assembly.
GGCUGAGGGACAUUGAGGACACACUGCUGAGCAGGGGUCUCCACCAUGGCCUGGGCUCCUCUCCUGCUCACACUGCUGGCUCACUGCACAGGGUCCUGGACCCAGUCGGUGGUGACUCAGCCAUCUGAAGUGUCCAAGCCUGUGAAUAAAAGUGUUACCAUCUCCUGCACGGGAAGCAGCAGCAAUGUUGGGGCUGGAGGUGUGUCCUGGUACCAGCAGCUCCCAGGCAGUGUCCCCAAAGUUCUCAUCUAUGGUAGCAGUGCUCGGCCUGCGGGGGUCUCGUCUAGAUUCACAGGCUCCAGGUCAGGGAACGUGGCCUCCCUGAGCAUCUCUAGCCUCCAGGCUGAGGAUGAGGCUGAUUAUUACUGCUCAGUGUGGGACCACAGUCUCAAAGCUCACACACUGCUCCAGGCCUGUGGGGAAGUGAGACCCAAACCUGCUGUCCCCUCAGCAAUGGGACUUCCUGUGCAGCUCACACCCUUUGGCUGACACAGCUGCUUCUUUGUUCAUUUCUUCUAAAAGUGGAGUCUUAGAGCAAGGCUAGGGAAUUUUUUCUAGAAAAAGUGUCCUUGUUCUCCCAAAUUGUGCCAUUAAACCCAGCCCUA